ACACUGUGUGACUUUCACACAGGCGAGCAUGGGUGGUCUGCUGGGAGUUUGCAGGCCGCGCCGGUCAAACAAACUGUUGCUCGGACCGAGGCUGACACCUGUUGGACAACAAGCUCCGAAGGUCACAAGAAGCACAAAGUUAUCUUGACAGCCAGGUCUCAAGGAUCUCUCCUCCCAGGGAGUUGUUGCUUCACUCCCGUAAAGCAACAACUACCGAGCCAAUUUUAAAUUAUGUUUUGUGAAUGUGUGGGGCUUGACAUAAAAGAAGAGCCUAUUUAAUUUGGGUGCGGAUCCAGGAGUUUUUAUAACAUUGAGAGAUUUCCAAAAUUCAUGGAUCUGGCAUGUUUAGGAGACUGCUGUAUGGAGCCAAAGGAAAUCAGAGAGGACAACACACACUUGUACACAAAGACAAAAGUAAACAUCACAGUAAAAAAAAAAAAUGCUGUCGAGCUUCACGUUGUGCAAAUAAAAAAAACAAAAACAAUGCUCAUCUUCUCCGAGAUGAGGCGUGUCACAGCCGGUCUCCUCUGCCUGCUCCCGAGUGAUAUGCAUGUUUCCUUAAAAUGGAUUAUACCUCAGCGAAGUCCGAGUGUCUUUUCUAUUUCAAUCAGUGGCCAUAUCAUUUCACACUGUUAAGCUUAUAAGCUGACAAAUGACGAUUUGGGACUUCUCACCCGGACACUUGCUCACGGCACAGUCGACCUCACACAGAAACGGCAGAGAUGUGAUGAUGGUAACGGAUGCAACACCCUGAGAACAUGGCACCAUGGACUGUCCCACAAAAAAAGACGUUGAAGUUUAGAAUCGAUGAACAUUGUGACAGAACUAAAAACAGAUUGUGGUGCAUAGAACAAUCUUUGAGGCAGAGGAAGCAAAAUGGUGGCCGUGAUUAACCAGCAGGGGGCGCUCUGCUGCUUUUUUUCAAAAAGUCAUUGGACAGGAGCUGAAGUUGUUCAGUAUUAGUGAACAACGAAAUGAUACAAAGAGAAAGAAGGAUGUAAUUCAUAAAACCAGUGCAGUGUGUGUAGGAGAGUUAUAUAUAUUUUUUUCAGAUCAGCCACAGGAGCUGGGAUUUCACCGACACGGGACACAAGUUGCAGCGGGAAACAUAAAAAGAUGUAAGAAAACGAAGGGUAAAUAAUUCACAGACGAUUCGACAACACUUUGGCGACUUGUAACCCUGUUGGCGCUGAGACACACACACACACACACAAUAUGAGACAGUUCAGAGAGCCGCCGCCGUCCUCCUGCUCUGAAAGAUGUGUCCUUUGCGUCUUGAUUCGGUCCAAUCCCGUUUUUUAAGUCUCAUUUGUUUGAUUUGAUUGUCUUUAGAGUCAUCGACCAGUUGAGCCAGAAAUAAAAAGCCAGCAA
Pleuronectes platessa (European plaice) is the source of this 1371-nucleotide long non-coding RNA. RefSeq lists it as uncharacterized. The record is from RefSeq and is a predicted model, not a curated record. NCBI's taxonomy places the organism in Eukaryota, Metazoa, Chordata, Actinopteri, Pleuronectiformes, Pleuronectidae. The transcript is spliced from 3 exons.